UAAAGAUUAACAGGAUAAAGUGUAACAUAACGACUAAAAAAAUAAAUAAAAGCGAUGACCUGUAACUAGUAAGAUAACCAGUAAGAUUUAAUGAUAAUCAAUCAGAAGAGGUUAGUGGAAUAAAGGAUAAUACUUAGCAAGCCUAAAAACUCGAAAAUUUCACCGAAAAAGGUGCAGACGAUAAAAUGCAAGAGAAUGAAUGACAUCUAUAAAAAUUUUUAUAGACACCGAGCAUCUAUAAAACAUUUUGAGAGUGCAGCCAUUGACCGAUACUAAAAGCAAAGGGAAUCAUUUAAAAAAAUUGCAAAACUUCAUAUGAAUUAGGGAACUAAUGUAUGCUGGAUAUUUCAGAAAGACGGCUUGAUUAAAUAUCUUAAAACAUUGGUUGUAGAUCUCAUGGAUCUCAGUUAUGAAAAUGAAUCAAAUGAAAUAGGUUUUUAGAUUAUUAUAAUUUUUUUACCGACUGCCUUUAGUGAAAAUAUAUGAAAGUUAAAUUUUUAUAAGAAAAUUUAAAAUUAUUGCCACCGUGCCCCCAUUGCAAAGUACACUCACUACUGAUAAAGAAGUAUAAAAAGAGCAUAAUUAUUAACAGAAGGCCAUGGAUGAUUAUAAAAUAGGUGCUUGAUUGGUCAAAUCCAGAUUUCUGAAUUUAAACCUAUGAAAAUUUUAGAAAAAAUUGCAUUUAAAGCCCCCAAUUUAAAUUUCAAAAAGACAUUUAUGGCAAGUUUGAUGUAACUGCAUCAGUCUGGAAUUUACCAAUAUGUUUGCAAUAAAAAUAAAAAUUUCAUCUACAGUUUGAAAAAUCCAUUUUUCAGAGACAUGUAUAAAAUUCAUAAGUUCUUUCCAAGUAUAAAACAAAAUUUGAAAUCAACAUAAGAAAAUUAAAUUGUCCACAAUGAUAGAAAGGUAAAUUUAAAAAACAUUUUUAUUUCAAUUUUUUUUUCAUCUUACAAAAGCUAAUUUUUGAGAACAUUUAUGGCUAGAAUACACUGAUACAUAAGAUGCAUGUUAAAGCAUCAACAAAAAUGACAAAGCAUUUUACUGGACACAAAACACAAGAAAAUAAAAAGCAUACAGAUCUAUAUCACAAUUCAGUUUAGAUAAAAAUAUAAUUCAGAAUAUAAUUAAUUCCCUAGAAUAUACUUUGGCAUUUUUGAUCCUAUUAUCAACAUGUCACAAAACUCUAGAACAGUACAAAACAGUGUUGAUUUUAUGUACAAAAACAACCUACAGUUUAUAAGUGCAGAUAUCCUUAACUUUUACAUGGAAUUAAUGCAAAUUGGAUUUUAUAAAGCUCUAUUAUUAAAGCAAAUUUCAGAUACCUAGACUUACAAAUGUUGCAUAAAAUAGCUGCUGCAUUUAUAAGACAAAGCUUAUGUUGGACCACCUCGACAUCUACACUCAAAGAUGUUUGUAAAAUAAUUAUUUAAUAAUAGUUCUCAUUUUUUUUUCAAUGAAUUAUUACAUUUCACAAUUAGGUUUUCUUAACAGUCACAUGCACCAUUCACUAAAUUUUAAAAUACACAUCUGCCACCUUUAGCUCACACAAUUUCCAACACUGAACAUUUAACUGCCAAUUAAAUUUGCAUGUAUGGUGAUUUUGAAUAAUUUUGUACGAAUGUGCAUACUGCAAAAAUUAUUUUAUUGCAACACUUCAAAUAUUCUUUACAUACCAGACUGCAGCUGUUCACAAUAGCAUAUUAAAAUGCUAUGUAACAAAAAUAAGAUGCAUAAAUAAUUAUAAAUAAAAAAUGUAACUUACGUAUGAUUUUACUAAAAUUACUUAAUCAUUUCAAAAACAGAUAUUCUCAAUGACUUGUAUUAAAACAAUUAUUAAUUAUAUAUGCUGGUAGCAAGAAUUUUGAAAACAAUUCAGCUAAUUUUCUGAAUGAAUUUAUAAAUAGUUAAGAUGAAUUGAGAUAAAGAAUACUGCCAAAAAAUAUUAUCUACAUUCUUUGCUUAAAAAAAAAAAAAAAAAAAACAUUAUUUUUAUUAAAUUUCUUACCAUAAUUUA
This 2014-nucleotide long non-coding RNA is filed under the name Stegodyphus dumicola. RNAcentral describes it as "uncharacterized LOC118197511". Lineage: Eukaryota; Metazoa; Arthropoda; Arachnida; Araneae; Eresidae. The record is from RNAcentral.